Molecule: ribosomal RNA, 492 nt
Filed under: uncultured bacterium
Lineage: Bacteria
Description: partial 16S ribosomal RNA
Rfam family: Bacterial small subunit ribosomal RNA
Source: RNAcentral
AGUGAACGCUGGCGGUAGGCCUAACACAUGCAAGUCGAACGGCAGCACAGUAAGAGCUUGCUCUUACGGGUGGCGAGUGGCGGACGGGUGAGGAAUACAUCGGAAUCUACUUUUUCGUGGGGGAUAACGUAGGGAAACUUACGCUAAUACCGCAUACGACCUACGGGUGAAAGCAGGGGAUCUUCGGACCUUGCGCGAUUGAAUGAGCCGAUGUCGGAUUAGCUAGUUGGCGGGGUAAAGGCCCACCAAGGCGACGAUCCGUAGCUGGUCUGAGAGGAUGAUCAGCCACACUGGAACUGAGACACGGUCCAGACUCCGACGGGAGGAAGCAGUGGGGAAUAUUGGACAAUGGGCGCAAGCCUGAUCCAGCCAUACCGCGUGGGUGAAGAAGGCCUUCGGGUUGUAAAGCCCUUUUGUUGGGAAAGAAAAGCAGCAGGUUAAUACCCCGCUGUUCUGACGGUACCCAAAGAAUAAGCACCGGCUAACUUCGUG